Molecule: ribosomal RNA, 387 nt
Filed under: Providencia vermicola
Lineage: Bacteria; Pseudomonadati; Pseudomonadota; Gammaproteobacteria; Enterobacterales; Morganellaceae
Description: bacterial SSU rRNA
Rfam family: Bacterial small subunit ribosomal RNA
Source: RNAcentral
CGCUGUAAACGAUGUCGAUUUGGAGGUUGUGCCCUUGAGGCGUGGCUUCCGGAGCUAACGCGUUAAAUCGACCGCCUGGGGAGUACGGCCGCAAGGUUAAAACUCAAAUGAAUUGACGGGGGCCCGCACAAGCGGUGGAGCAUGUGGUUUAAUUCGAUGCAACGCGAAGAACCUUACCUACUCUUGACAUCCAGAGAACUUAGCAGAGAUGCUUUGGUGCCUUCGGGAACUCUGAGACAGGUGCUGCAUGGCUGUCGUCAGCUCGUGUUGUGAAAUGUUGGGUUAAGUCCCGCAACGAGCGCAACCCUUAUCCUUUGUUGCCAGCGAUUCGGUCGGGAACUCAAAGGAGACUGCCGGUGAUAAACCGGAGGAAGGUGGGGAUGACGU